CUUGAUCGUGGGGUCUCCUCUGUAUCCGCCCGACACCGAGGUUAUUGCAGCACUUCCCGGCUGCAUGCCACCACCUCCGGACUCCGAAUGAACGAUCGAGGCUGAUGAGAGGAUGCUAUUGCUGGCCAGUGAAAAUAAUAGCGGAGCAGAGAAGAGCCGGAUUCACUCGAGACGGCGGAAGAGAGAGAGAGGGAGCUGCGCUGGAUUUCAGUCUUGCGGUAAGAGCAAGUAUCACUGAUAAACACAAGACACACAAGGCCUUCUUUCAGUGCACGGUCCUUUAUAAGGGCAGGGUGGCUGGGGUUAUCUUUUCUUGUGCUGCCCUCUCCCUCCCUCUCUCUCCCUCUUUCUCUCUCUCUCUCUCUCUCUCUCCCUCUACCUUUAGUCAUGUACAUGUAUAACUGUACAGGAAGCAAUGACACUGUACUUUUGAAUAGACUAUUAAUAUGUUUACCAUAUCAUAUCGUACUAUGCACAGUUGUAAACCCACAAAAACAUUUAGUCGACUUAGAAAGAUCUUAAUAAUUUCUGUCUAAAAACAGUCCUGCAGCGCUUCUGAAGGGCCCUAAAGCAAAGGUGCGAUUCAGCCAUGCUCAAGCUGUUCUGUGGGUAAAGCUCAUACCAGCUGGAGCAGAAAUCACAGAAUUGUCUUUCUUUCCCAUGUGCUACAUUUGCAUUUUACUCAGCUUACCAAAAGAAAUCGCCUGCAGCGAGAGAACUCUAACCACCAUACAUUUAAGAAAGAAAGAGAGAAUAAAAGAAGCACGAAAGAACAGAGGCAGACAGAGCGAAGGAAAUGAGAGAUAAUCUCAAAGCUACUGUCCAUUUCCACCGUAGUCACAAGCCAUCAUGCGUAAUGGGAAAAAUGCAUCAGCAUGCACGUCGGUAGAUGAGGCGCAAUCCCUUUGUCACCUAACCACAGAUAUCUUCUCUCUCUGUGGUCUUAAAUAUGGUCUUUUGAUGGUUUCUUGAGACCAAUUUACAAAAAAAAAAUACUUUGCGUUAUUACUGAAGAGCAGUGGUAUUACAUUGGCAUCUCUACUUUGACAGGGUCAUUCUCAAAGAGGCAAUGUGUGUUCCUGAGUAUGUUCCUAUGUUAUACCCCAUAUAGCCGUGUUAAUGCCAUCUAACUGUAUGUGGCCCCGGCUCUUCUGACAACUAAAGGGACCCAUCAAUGUUUCAGCCCACAGUGUAUGACUCAAAGGGCCUUUAAAGUGAGUAAAACCCAUUCUCUUUAAUUCUGAUUACACUCUGAAAGUGUCUUUAGCAUGUGGCGGCUAAAUUGGGCUAUCAGCGCUAAGUAGUGGCGGGGAAGAAAAGAGCCAAUUAUGCCAGUCAAAGCCAGAUGAUGAUUCUCAUCUUCACUCUCUCUAACGCAGAGACACACACAGACACACACAAAAAAAGAAAAGAAAAAGAGGAAUACGUCUCCUUUUGUUCUUAACUACAGAUAUUUUACACAUAUCUGUAUUUAAGGGGUUCGUAAUGUUAUAUGCACCCUUACAGAAUUAUCUGAUGUGUUAUAAUAUAAACAGACAGAAGUGAUAUAACUUCAUUUCCAUAACA
Paramisgurnus dabryanus is the source of this 1566-nucleotide long non-coding RNA. RefSeq lists it as uncharacterized. Lineage: Eukaryota; Metazoa; Chordata; Actinopteri; Cypriniformes; Cobitidae. The record is from RefSeq and is a predicted model, not a curated record.